Molecule: unclassified non-coding RNA, 1670 nt
Filed under: Hevea brasiliensis (rubber tree)
Lineage: Eukaryota; Viridiplantae; Streptophyta; Magnoliopsida; Malpighiales; Euphorbiaceae
Source: RNAcentral
UCUCUCUCUCUCUCUCUCUCCAGGGAGAUAAACUCGCAGUAGCAGUAACGGAAAGAGUGUUUUUAUAAUUCUGCCAUAAAUGCCUCCUUUGCUUCGUUGGCACCCAUUACUCUCUCUCUCUCUGCCUUUUUUCCAUUACAUAACUGACCUAUCAAGCAAAGAAGCCCGUCAACAGUACUAUAGCAUACAACCAUGGUCCAGUGUUUUCCUUGCAGACGGCACUUCUCUUUUUACCAUACUCCCUUUUAAUUUCUCCAUCUGGGCUUGAUCACCAACGCCGCAUAAGCCACACCCAGAUUCCAAAAUCUUCUCUUUUUGGUUCAAAUGUCUAACAGCCCAUAUCAGCAAGACCAUGAAAAGGUGCAAUUCUCAGAAAUUUUUAAGAAAUUCAAGCGUUUGAGACUUUUUGAACCAUCUGUAGGGAUUUUGGGGUUCUUUUUUGUUACAGUUUGUGUGAUUUGUUGCUUCUUUUACUUAGAUUUCAGGUCUGUAAUUAAUAAGGGGUAUAUAGUUCCAGGUAAAUCAGAAAGGUUUAUGUGGCUGCAUGUUAAUGGGUCAAGUCCGAAUAGAAGAGUUGAGUUUUUGGGAGAGGAUGGUGAUGGGUGUGAUGUAUUUGAUGGGGAAUGGUUGUGGGAUGAGACUUAUCCAUUGUAUCACUCUAAAGAUUGUAGCUUUUUGGAUGAGGGGUUUAGGUGCACUGAAAAUGGCAGGCCUGAUUUGUUCUACACCAAGUGGAGAUGGCAACCCAAGAACUGCAACUUGCCCAGAUUUGAUGCUAAAACGAUGUUGGAGAAACUGCGCAACAAACGGCUAGUGUUUGCUGGAGAUUCCAUUGGAAGAAAUCAAUGGGAGUCCCUCCUCUGCAUGUUAUCUUCUGCAGUUUCUAAUAAGGACUCAAUAUAUGAAGUGAAUGGCAGUCCAAUUACCAAGCAUAAAGGAUUUUUGGUAUUCAAGUUUCGGGAUUAUAAUUGCACUAUGGAAUACUAUCGGGCUCCAUUUCUUGUAUUGCAGAGCCGGCCUCCUGCUGGGGUUCCAAAGAAUGUUAGAUUAACCCUCAAAUUGGAUCAAAUGGAUUGGAAUUCUGGCAAGUGGAGAGAUGCUGACAUGCUGGUCCUCAACAUGGGGCAUUGGUGGAAUUACGAGAAAACCAUAAGAGGAGGUACUUACUUUCAAGAAGGGAGAGAGGUGAAAUUGGAAAUGAGGGUUGAACAAGCAUAUCAUAGGUCAAUUGAGACUGUGUUGCAGUGGAUACAGAAUAAAGUGAACACAAGCAAGACCCAAGUUUUCUUUCGUACGUUUGCCCCUGUACAUUUCAGGUAUGUUACUACACUAUUCUUUUCGCACCAACUUUGUUGGUGUUAUAUGGUAUCUUUUUCUUUCCUUUUUCUGUUCUUAAUUUUUGAGGCUAUGCAUCUAAACUAAAAGUUGUUUGAUCUUGAAACUUUGGGCUAUUUGGGAAGGGUUGCCCUCGAUGGCCCAGGGAACAUCUGCUUGUCCUUGACAUCGAGCUAAGCCUAGGUUGUCAAGAACGCUGCAGUAUUUCAUUUAGGGAUGAAUUUUGUUUCAAAACUUCUUUGAGUUCUUGAGUAGUGUCAGUGUUCAUAUAGACUUGCUGAGACUUCCAAAUUCUUAGUUCUAAGAUCUGAUAUUUGAACUCUUCAAAUGCACAA